GACGAACGCUGGCGGCGUGCUUAACACAUGCAAGUCGAACGGAAAGGCCCUGCUUUUGUGGGGUGCUCGAGUGGCGAACGGGUGAGUAACACGUGAGUAACCUGCCCUUGACUUUGGGAUAACUUCAGGAAACUGGGGCUAAUACCGGAUAGGAGCUCCUGCUGCAUGGUGGGGGUUGGAAAGUUUCGGCGGUUGGGGAUGGACUCGCGGCUUAUCAGCUUGUUGGUGGGGUAGUGGCUUACCAAGGCUUUGACGGGUAGCCGGCCUGAGAGGGUGACCGGCAACAUGGGACUGAGGUAGGGCCCAGGAGCCAAGGGGAGGGAGCGGGGGGGAAAUUGGAAACAGUGGGCGGAGGCAGGAAGCAGCACCGCGGGGGGGGGAAAGGCGGCUUUGGGGUUGAAAACCUCUUCCGCGUGAGAAGAAGGGUGGGGGAGGGAAAUGGGAAAAAAGGCACGGGCAAAUUCCUG
Molecule: ribosomal RNA, 467 nt
Filed under: uncultured bacterium
Lineage: Bacteria
Description: partial 16S ribosomal RNA
Rfam family: Bacterial small subunit ribosomal RNA
Source: RNAcentral